This is a non-coding RNA of Anas platyrhynchos (mallard), 15998 nucleotides long. NCBI's taxonomy places the organism in Eukaryota, Metazoa, Chordata, Aves, Anseriformes, Anatidae. The record is from RefSeq and is a predicted model, not a curated record.
CAGUCCUGAGCUUAGUUUCUGCAAUAUGUAUGAGUUGAUUAUGUUCGAACUAGAUAAAAGACGACUGAGCUAUCCAUUAAAGUUGAAGUUCACUGUUCACUCAUAUUGAGCGUCUGGGUCUUCCUUCUGUCGGCAACAGUAGUACUCAGAAAAUCACCACAAGCUGAUGUGAUGCUAGGAAUACUUAGUAUAGGAACAACAGUUUUCAUUAUCUUUACAGAUAAGUAUACUCCACUGUGCAAUGGCUACAUGCAGUGCUCUGCAUUGACCUACACUUUCACUUGAAUUUUCUUUGGGGAUUAGAAACUGUACUUCAAGCAGACUGGCUUUUCUAGAAGUCUUGGGACCUCAUUUCCAGGGAAGAAAAAGACUCCCAAAUGCACUUGAAAUUCACUGCAGAAUGGAAGAACAAAAGAGAUUCAGAUCUUUACAUGUCAGCACAUCUCUCUUUUAUUAUACACUUUGGAGAAAAAGAUGUUCCCAUGUCUUGUUUUUUUUUUUUUUUUUUUUUUUUUUCUUUUCCCAAUGCAUUACACAAAUUUUAUCUUCAUCCUAAAGGAUAACUUUGGCACGUAAAGGUGGAGUGAAGAAAAUGGCUGUUCCUUGGUACAGUUUAGCAGUGCAUUCAGCAAGAACAUAAUAGUUUAGAAAGGGGGAAGAGUAUGAGAGUUCUCAGAAAGUGUGGAUACAUAUUGUAGUAGUAAUAUUUAUUCUGAAUUGUUUUCAGAAUACAAUCUUAACUGUGCAGUUAUAAUAACAGCAAGAACUUCCAUUUGUUACUAAAGGAAGAUAGCGUCAAUGAUGAUUAAAUCAUCAUUGAUAAUUUUUUUAUGAAAAAUAACCUUCUUUUUUUACCUUUUUCUUAAAAAAAAAAAAAAAAGGGGGGGGGGGUAUUUACCUAAGAAAUUUAAAAUAACAAAGGGUGUCCUGCUACAUUUUAAAAAGAGAAUAAAGAAUCUAUCUGUGGUACUGUAACAGGAGAAAUAUUUCUAAUGCUGUAUAGAAGUAGUAUAUUGUAUCUCCUCAGCAUUAUUUUCUCUCUGCAGUUCUCAUGUCACUUUUUGGGACAUAAGCCAUUUUUCACUUACUUAAAGAACAUGUGGACUUCAGUAAAUACACAGUUCAUUUCUAGAAUAAAAUAUAGAGAACGUAUUCAGAAAAUAAGUUUGUCUAGCCAUGUACUGUAUUGAUUAGUUUCAAGCUCCACUUAAAAAAUAUAUUUAACAAAUAAAUAAAACCAAAUAAAUAAAUAAAUAAAUAAAAUAAAUAAAACCAAACACCUAUUGGUUUCAUUCUCUGAGACACUCGUUUUUUACUCUAUGCCAACAUUCAGAAAAGAACAUGUUUAACAAGGCUUUACAUGUCAGUGUUCGGAUCAUAAAUAAUUCAGAUUAGUUCUAAUUCAGAUGAGAAAAUACAGAUUACUUCUAAUUUCAAAGUCAUAGUGCUAGGAAUUCUCUCCAUAGUCUUAAUAUUAUUUCCCUGACUUUUGGGAGCUAUUGCAUGCCAAAUGUUAAAAACACCAUUUCUUGUCCAGCAUCCUACUGAAUGUAAAGUUUUAAAAUGUCACAUGAGUAAAGAAUGAAAAAGUAUAUAUAUAUCUGAAAAGAUGUUAUAGUCUUCAACAAGCAGGCUUGCUUAGAUCCUGGGUACAUUUAUAAGUCCCAGAAAAUCCACAGGUAGAACUAAGAUAUUAUUUAAUAAGACAAUAAAGGUAUUUAACUCAAAUAUGUGUAGAGAUAUCCUUUUUACAUUUGUCUAUGUGUUUUUAGCAAUGUGGGAUAUAUUCAUGAAGAAUAAUUUUUGUCAGAAUGUAUAAAAUGUUGUACUAAAAAUGUUCAUAUCCUUCUUUGUAGCUUUCUGUUUGCAUCUGUCCUCUUUGUACCUUCUCCUCAGCCCUAAUUACUCAUUUUUCUUUUAAAGAAUAGCACAGGUUCCUACAACCAAUAAAGUAGUAUGAAAACACUUUUUUUUUUUUUUUUUUUUAAUUUAAAUUCCAAACCAUAAAAAGAUUCAAGAAUCACUCAGAUAAUACAACAUAAGGAACAUGAUGCAACAAACUGGAAGAAUUUGGUAGGAAGAAAAAAAAAAAAAAAAAAGAAUACUUUUUCAGGUCUUUGAGGUCUUGGAAUGACUAAUGCAAAUUUACAUUCUCUCCUCUCUGUAUAUGCUUGUCUGUGAACAGAUGAAGGAUAAGAGAAAUUUUAGUCAAAACUGCUCACUAUGGUAUCAUAAUCCUUGGGACCUCUUCUGAUCUAUCAUUACUAGCAAUGUAUUGUUAUCUCCUCAAAGCCACACAAUUAGAUCUUGAAUCCUAGGCUGGUAAACCUAGAAUUCUGUGGCUUUUUCAAGAUCAAUCAAUGGACAGAGUUCACAGAUGUUCAAAAGCAGAGGAGCUAUUUUGAUUAAUUUUGACAGAAGCACUGUGUCAGUGGAUGAGGAAGGGGGUGAUGAUUCCCUGACCAUAACAAACAAAUAAUAAUAAUAAAGAAAAAGAUUAAGUAACGUGUGAUGCCACUAGGGGAAAAAAUAAAUAAAUAAAUAAAUAAAUAAAUAAAUAAAUAAAUAAAUAAAUGUUAGUUAUACAGAAGGCACCCCUGAAAGUUAUUGGGAACAGAUACAGAAUUUUCUGUGGAGUAAAGUAGUUUGCUCUCCUUUUUUAAGGAUGUGUAAAUAUAAUUGUUGGGUCAGAUUCAAAAGCUUUUUUCCAUUCUCAUGUCAUUCAGUCUUUUUUUCCUGAGGGAUAUUAUGUCCAAGUAAACUCCUAAAUAAUUUGUUUAAACCUAGUAGUGAAAACACCUACGAGAAACGUCACAGUUUCUAAGUUUACUUUGGUAAGUUUUAUGAAUUGCUCUGUACCCUAUCAAAAACUUUUUCUCUGAGACCUUAAGUCUACAAAAUAAGAAAAAGGGAACAUACAUACACUGUCUUACACUGAGAAACCCAUGAAGAAAUAAGUCAGUGUGGGGGCUCACAUCUGCACACAUUAUUGCCAGUUUUCCAUUGUGAGCAGACAGAUGACCAACACUUCUGUUUUUCUGCAAAUAUAGCUACACGGACACUGCGUAAAAAGUAUGGUGAUUCUUCUGUUUGCCCACAAAUUUAGGGUAUUAUUAGAGACUGAAAAGUAAUUGUUAUGAUAAUAUGACACUAUUUACAAAACCUGCUACUUCAAUGAAAUUAACUAGUAGGGGAUGACUAUGGAGAUACUAAUGAAGCACACGGGUUUCAUCAGCAGCUAUGUCAUUUAACAUAUCUUACUGCUGAUGUGCUGUGAGUUAUUGGGAACGGACAGGAAAAUAUUAAUUUUGUACUCACAGAUGCAAAAUUAAUGAUUAAUGAAUAAAAUCAGAGAUGCAUAAAGACCUUACCUUGUGUUUGUUGUUGCAGCAAGAAAAAAAAAAAAUCAGUGUGAUUAGAGAAGUAUAAUGGGGGAAAAAAAAUAAAAAUAAAAACAAAACAAAAAACCCAACAACAACAAAACAUUAUUACUACAAAGAAAACAUAAAAUCUUCUGCCUUAGUUUUUCUGAGCAGAACCUCCUCUCCUCCAUUUUCCAGGAGGAAAUUAACAAUUAACCACAAGUCAUUUGAAUUCAGAUGAGGGUGUAUAAUUCAUGAGUCUGUAUAAAUUUGUUUAGUAAAUAAAACCACAGACUCAGUAUUCCAGAAAAGAGAAGAAAUGUGAUACCUGAAGUCUCCUGGAUGUCUGGAAAAUGAGCCAACACUGAAGAAAAUGCACACUUUUCACUCUUUUAUCACAAACUUUGGAAAAAUCCAGCCAGUAAUAUUUGAAAACUGCUUAGUCUUUUAAAAAGACAAACAAACGAAAUAAUAAAAUAAAAUAAAAUAAAAUAAAAUAAAAUAAAAUAAAAUAAAAUAAACAUUAGAAAAAAAAAAAAAAGGAGAGGAAAAGAGAAAGACAUUCAAAGUAGAUAAAUGUUUCAAGGGCUUAUAAAGUUCAUUUUCCCAGAAGUUUCGAAGCAAAUUCUUCUCUAAUUCCAGUAUUAUUACAGUAAGCCAUUUAUUCUAAACACAACAGGAAAAAGAGUAUCUAUCACUUGGAUAUUUUUAAGCUGUCUACCAUAAUACAUUCCUGAUAAAUGAACCAUUGCAGGGCCAACCUAAAAUGGGGAAAGAGCACCACCAGUGAAAGAAAUAUUGUCCUUGUACUACCUUUAAUCUCAAACUGCAGAUGCACAGAUAGCCUUUGUUGCUUGGGAAGAAAAGUUUCUUUUCCAUUGUGUUCAUUUGCUUUGAAUAGCACCAAUACAUACUUUUUUCUCUGAGCUUUUCAUCAAAGCACUUAUCAAAGUGAAGAGGCAUUGAACUUCUGUUCCUUUAGCAUUUCACCCAUAUUGAGUCACCACCUAAGUAAUGCUGUUUUGUUUUAGCUCUCAUUUAUAACCGAAUUUGGUAAAGGAUCUUGUUAUCAAAAUGCAGCAUUUUAGAUCCCCAUUUUUAUCACUAGAGAAAUGCUAAAGAGUUAAGUCAGUAAGUGAGACAUUAAUAAUAAAAUUUUAAAAGUCUUUUAUUAGGAGAGCUAAAAUUUAUAAUCAAUUUGGAAUCACUUGUGAAUUUUAGCAACUGGGUUUGAAAUUUGGAUGGUCAAAGUACAAGCAGAAAGUAUGCUAUGUGAGACUGUUUAACAGAAAAAGGGACUUCAGCCACUGAAAUAAAAAAGCACUUCAGCAUGCAGAAUAAUCACAUUUCAUUUUUAAUGAGUCUUGGAUUAGUACAGAAAACAUUCCUUCAUCAAAGCAACCUUCCAGAUCCUUAGAUGCACAAACUUGAAGGAGCACAAAAAUGCCCUACUUGACAUUAAUGCCAACCUCCACCUACACUUCAAUUGAUACAUUUCGAAAUUGCAUUAGUUCAUUAGGAAACACAUAAGAACUAUAAAGAAUUUUAGAAGAUAAAAGACAUUUUUUGAAUAAGGUGAGGAACUCAUGGAUGUUGUCUAAUUACAUAUCAAUGUGCUUCUCUAUUAAUAUAAUAGGUAGUCAUGACACGAAGCCAGAGUCAUGUGUGUGUUGAAAUUAAAAUGUUUGAGGAACAUUGAUUGUCUCCGAACACAUGUUAGGAUAAUACAGGUUAGGAUAAUUUUUCAAACAGAAUUAUAUGUCACAGAAACCAACUAAGUAUUUCUUCUUCACACUUCCUCUUCCCUGCCUCAUCCUCCUCCCACCCAAAAACAACAAGACAAUGCACCAUCACUAACAACUGCUAAAAAAUAAAAGUUUUGGACAUUUUUAGUUGUCCUGACUUUAAAGUCAAAUGAAACAAAAACACCGUAAUGAAAAAAGAAGAAGAUGACCCUAUUACAUUCGUAUGAACUACUAAUAGAGAUAGCAUAAAUUUCCAAUAUAUUUGAAGUGUUUCCAGUAACAUUUAAAAAAACAAACAAACAAUAAGUGUAAAUGUCUGAAGCAAGUAAUUUUAAUGGCAUAAAUGUAAAAUGUUGCAAAUAUGAUUGCUGCACAUGUUCAUUCAUAGAGUUUUCUAAUUACAUAUGCAAACAUUUGCUUAAGAAGUAAUUCAGUAAAUAGCACAGUGAAAACAAUUCCAAACAUUUUUAAAUGAUAUACUUAUAUCCUGAAAGCUAAAGUGAAUUGUUUAAACACAAAUAUCAACAACUUUUUCUAUUUAAAAAGUUAAAUUAUAAUAUGUUUAAAAAUAAUAUUAAUGCAGUUUAAUUUUGUUAGGUUUAUGGUAAAUUUGGGUGUUUCUUCAUGACCUUCAUGACCUCAAAACUUGCUGAAUCCUUUUUCUUACAAAUGAAAAGAAAAAAAAAAGUUUUUGUUAUGUUUUCUUAACAAAUAGCAGCUGCUGUCUUCUUCAGGGAUGGAACUUGCAGAAAUGCAAGCUUUUACAGGCUGUGUACCACCUAUAGAACUAUGGGCAUCAUAUCAGGGUGACUAUGUUCUCUGAACAGGCUGUCAUCAUCAAAAAAGGAAGAUCCUUACUCUAGCUGCAUUUUUCCUUCCCACAUCUGCAAAAAUAGUUGGUAGGAAAAAUGUAGUGUAUAUGGGAUGAGCAGCAGCAGAUUUGGGCAUCAGCAUUUGGAGGGUUAUCCUCAAAGCCCUCUUUAAAAAGAUGACAAUAUUAAUCAAAUGUUAGAACACCAUCUUCCAGAAGAAGACCUCAGAGGGUUGCCAUUACUCUUUGGAAAAAGUAUAAGCCAAUAAAUAAUUUAAACCAACACAUCCAGCUAACUAUCCAGGGAAUCUUGACAAAACCUUCUUGUUUGCUAGAAUUAAAAUCCCUACAAAGCCUUUUCAAGUAUACCUCUCCUGUCAGCGCAGCCAUGCAAAUACUUAAAGGUACAAUCAAAACACUCUAUCAAGUUCCCUCAAUUAUAUUAGAAAUAAUAGUGUUUUUUGGGGGGUUGUUUUCUUUUCUUUUUGAGAUGUUAUGAUUUUUUUUUUUUUUUUUUUAACUACUGGAAUGAUUAUUUAGGGGCUUUAUUCUUUGUUUUAAACUCUCUUCAGUGUUUUAAGAUUCCUCAAUUUAUGGAUAGUAAUUACUGGAUGUGUGCAACAGGCAACCCUUUACUUCUGUUCCACAUUCCCACUAAUUACCUAUUUUAUUUAUGACAUUGAAAACUUCUGCUCAGAUGACUAUCUACUUCAGUCUUUUGGAGUCUUUGCAUCCUUGUAUAGUUUGCCUACAGUCUUUCUGUAAGCAUAGCUUACUUUACGUAGUUCUGAAAUUAGUAUUUCUCAUGUCCUAGCUUACCAAGUGAUCCAAAUCUUCCUGAAGCAAUGACCUGCACACUUUAUAAUGUAACCAGUUCUACAGCCUUCUUCAUCUUUAAAAAUAUUUUCUAGAACAUUUUAUUUAAGAUCAUCGAUGAAAGCCUUAAAAUAAUAUCGGGUCAGAAAACUAUUCCUGCUUAACCUUCCUCAAAGGACAUUCAGUCAUGUUGCCUUCAGGACUUAAUUGUAUUUAUUCAACAGUUAUUUGAGAAAAUAUUCUAUGCUAAAUGUAGACACAAUGUAAAACAUUUAAAAUUAUAUGUACGUAACUUUUUAAACUGAAAUAAGCUUCAUGUUUUUUAAGGUAUGAUUAUAAGACUAACAGUACACAUACAAGGUUCUGAAAGGCAUAUUGAUUAAAUGGGUACCUAGAUUUAGCUAUAUAUUAAUUCCCCAAGGCAGCUGACAGCGCAUGUUUUUACAAUGGAAGGUAUAUCAGACCGGUAGUCUUUUAUCCUGCCUAUGUGCAUUCAUGACUGAAACAAGUUUGCAGGGAAUCCAUCCUCAAACUGACAAAAGUCUCCCUCAACACUAUCACUGAACACAUAAUAAUGUUUUGUACCUUGUGUUUGGGUAAUUGUGUGUGAGAGCUAGGGGCUGGAACAUGGAGAGUGAGCUCCUUGUUUAUUGAAGACUCUAGACUUCAGCCUCUUACAGUACAGAGGUAUAUUAUCACAGAUUGGCACAGCACACUGUUAUCCAAUAGGCUUUUCAGUAGGGUAAAGAAGAAUUAAAGAAAUACUAGACUGCAACUUAUAAUGACAGAUUCUUGUCACACAUUUUCUUGGUCUGAAUCUCAUUGUCAGGUAGAAAGAUUUCACAGACAAUGAGAUUCCUCAUUAAAUAUCUGUUGAUUCUUUGACUGCAUUUCCUGAAUUAGCUAUCUUAGUUCAUAAGAUGUUUCUUCUGAAAUGCUGAAUAACUUAUUUCCUCUUUUAUUCACUGCAGAUUCUGCAGAUACACACCUUUUAAAAAAUAUAAUUUCAAAUCAAUGAUGCUUUCAACAAGAUGAUAUCACAAGUCACAUACAAAGCAAGCUACACUUUUAACCCUUUUCAUUGCACCCUUGAAUUCCUUAGACUAUAUUUGUCUCUUGAGCCUUCCCUCAAAAGGCCUCAAGGGUACAUUAUACUCCUAUAAUAGGGCCAGUCUGUAUAGGCAGAAAAAAAAAUAUAAUAAAUAAAAAUUAAAAAAAGCUUAAAAAAGCACUGGUGAAUGGCUUUCAAUCUCAUGUAAGAGCCUGUCAAAGUUGUCUCACCUGGCAUGUUCAACAACAUGGAGAGCUUCUUGCACUCUAGAAGGGAUCAGAAUAGGAAGAAGUUAGUUAAAACUGAUUCACCUGAAAUUAAGAUUGACAGUAUUAAGACACUACAAGAACACAUCACCUCCCACUGCUUCAGACACAGCUUGCAGCAUUUACUCAAACAGCACCAGGCAUACUCCACAGCAGAUCAAUUCAAAUUUAAAGAGCCAUGCCAGCGGCACAACUGGAUUACAGCAUCACAGAUAAAGAGAGGGGAUGCAGGUACAAGAGCGCAUGUGGUGACUGCUUCUUAUUCCGUAAAAUGAUUGAACUCAACAAUCAAAUGCCAGAAACAGUGGAAGAGAAUACAUGUAGUCUCAGAAGGUCUGGAUGAAGUCACAGCUAUAUGGAUGGAGGGACUGAGGAUACACACAGGACAUUCAUGCAUAAUGUGGCUAUGUUAGGAUUACAGAGCUUUCUGUUGCUGCAUGGAUGCUGGCCAACUGCUGGAGGACUGAUAGUAAUACAGUCACACAUAUGGGUUUUACUUACAUGUGCCUUCUAGAGUUGGAGCACACUGCUUGGCCUGUGACUUGGUUUUGUCUUUGAAUGUAAGCCAUCACAAGGUAACUGGAGGUGGCUUUGGGUCACUCACUCUUUCCUUACAAGUAACAAUUAGGAUUGGACACUCAUAAUUCAGCUGUUAUUCAAACGGGGGCAAAUCCGUUAUUUGUUCAAUGCUGUCCUUAUUCAGUAUUCUGAUCACUUUGCUCUAUUUCUAUGGGAGAAAAGCAAGCUGAGAAACUGAGCAGCAAUAUAGAUGUUGCUCUUAAUUUUAUGCUAAUGCAGAAAAUUCAAAAACAGACAGGUGUAUGUAUAUAUGUGCUUUUUUUAUGUCUUUUUUCUUUUUUUUUUCUAUUUUCAAAAUAAAUUUAUUUUUGAGCUGCAUCGAACUACACAACUCUUCAAAACUAUGAAAGAAAUAUCAAAAACUGAAGGUGUCAUCUUAAUUGCAUAACUAUUUAUGAGGCAAGCUCUCUGCCAAAUAUUAGUAAAUAAAGAUGUUCUCAUUUAAUUCAAAAUAUUUGAAAUUAUCCAGGACAUAUAGGUUGGAACAAAAUUGCUUAAAAUUACUUUCAAUGUUUUAGUUUUUAAGCAUCAAAGACUUAUCAGUGAGUCAUCUUUAUUUCUGUCCCCCUCCUACAGGCCCAUCAAGACUGCAUCUGCAUCAGCAAAUUAUACAUACCUGGAAAAUGUACUGGGAGGUCACACAGAUCAUCUUUCUCUGUGUCACUCAUUUAAUAGACUCCUUCUCAGAUACAAUCACUAUUUGACUUAUUCCAGAAAUCAGAGAACUAUGUUUAGGUCUCAUUCUGGUAGACAACCUGCUUGAGUUGGGCCUAGUCUUUCAUGUGGUGGACCUCUGGGCUACAAGUUUUCAAGUACACUCUGAAGAGGUUUUCUUCCUUCUCUGCUUCUUAGUGCCAUUUGCUCACAAUGACAGAAUCCUUCCUGGAAAGCCGAUUCCAGCUGGAAUCAGCUUGUUGCUCCCCAUUGUCCCCAGGAUUCCCAGUAUUUUUAUUAUUGUUUUUAUUAUUAUUUAUUAUUAUUUAUUAUUAUUAUUUAUUAUUAAUUAUUUAUUAUUAUUUAUUAUUUUUCUUUCCUGUGAAGAAGUCUUCUCAGACUUCCUAACUUCAUUUACUGGCUGUAGUUCAAGACUGUCCAACUAUCCUGCUUUCAGCCGGGUUACUUUUCUUCCUAGUAACAGGUAUGGUACUGUGGUUUGGAUUUAGGAUGAGAAUAAUGCUGAUAAUGCAUAGAUGUUUUAGCUGUUGCUGAGUAGUGCUUACACAUAGUUAAGGACUUUUCAGCUUCUCUUGCUGCUCUGCCAAUGAGAAGGCUGGGGGUGCACAAAAAGCUGGGAGGGAAUGGAACCAGGACAGUGGACUCAAACUGGCCAGGGAUAUUCAAUACCAUAUGACAUCAUGCUGAACAAUAAAACAGGGGAGGCUCUGCUUGGAGUAAGGCUGAGCAUCAGACAGCAUGUAGUGAGCAAUUGCAUUGUGCAUCACUUUUAUCAUUAUCUUUUAUCAUUAUUAUUAUUCGUCCUUCCUUUCCUUCAUUUUCUGUCCAAUUAAACUUUCUUGAUCUCAAUCCCCAAGGUGUUUUUUUGUUUGUUUGUUUGUUUUUGUUUUUGUUUUCAUUUUUUUGUUUGUUUGUUGGUUUGUUUUUUUUUGGUUAAUUUUAUUUAUUUAUUUAUUUAUCCAUUUCUUUCCCCUGUUCCAGCUGGGGGUUGGAGGAGUGAGCAACCAGCUGUGUGGUGCUUAGCUGCUUGUUGUUUUAAACCACAACCACAAAAUAUAAUACAUGUUUAUCGAUUCUACCAACAUCUCAAAACAGUUGUAGCAGUGCUUGCCAGGGGCAGGGGUAGAUAAGACUCUAUGCUUUUGCAGAGUAUGUCUACAGAGGAUUGCCUUGAAAGUCAUUAUGCACAAGAUGGCUUUAUGAAUUCUGCUGACUAUGCUAUAAACUGGAGGGGACUUCAAGAUGGGGGAUAUACUUGCAACCUAUUAACUUAAUUGAUUGAAGAAGGCAGCUGUGGAACAGGCAUAAGUAAGAGGAAAUAUAUGGAGAAUGGUUAGGUUGUGUUUGCUGUGAGGAGUCAGUAGUUUCAUAAUAUUUCACCUUUGUGUUUAAGGGCUGAUCUAUAUGGUGAAUAGUAUUGUGAAGCUGUUUAGUUUAAAUACCAGUGAUAUUUCUGUAACUAAAAGAAAAUAAUAAUAAUGAGUUGGCAAAAUAUUUAUGUAAUCUCAUUAUAUAUAUAUAUAUCUUCUAGCUAGAUAUCUUUUGUAGAAUGACCUAUUCAGUGAUUCUAGAGUAAGGACUUACUAAUGACUGUUUUGCUAAUAAACCAUUAGUAAUGUUGUCAGUAAUCCAUAUCUUGAAGGCAACUGAAGAAAAACAAGGAGUCUCUUGCAGGGAAUUUCAAAAGUAGAAGCCCAAGAUGAUACCAGCAUCCUAAGGGAAUGAGGAUUAAUCACAAAUGAUUAAUUCUCUGUCACUAAAAAUGAAACCUUAACAUCUAUAGAGGUAGUAAGGCAUAAAUUGAAUAUGUACAUAUAAACAUGUAGAACCAUGUGUAUAUAUAUAAUCAGGCUACCUAUUGAAGCAUGCUAGGACUGAAGUCACUAGAGCCUUCCUUUGCUGAAGGGACAUAGGAAAAUAUUGUGGGAAAAUAUAUUUCUGAGGUAGUCCUUUCCUGGACUUCUCAUCAUAUGUCUCUGGUUCUAAGACAUAUGUGUUGUGUCCAGAAGAUCCACAUUCAUAGGGAAUUCAUUCACAGGGAAUUUGGUGUGUGUGUGUGUGUGUGUGUGUGUGUGUGUGUGUGUGAAUAUGGAAAGCAUGUAGCUGGAGACUUAGAUCCUUAGUCCCAGGUCAUGAAACUGAAGAGGAUCAAUGGAGUUCUUCUAUCUAAACAAUCCAGACUGAGUAGUAUAAAACUGCCAAGCAGUCAGGACUUCUCUUGUCAUUCUCUUUUGCAGAGGAGUAGUUUCUGCAGCAUUGUGAGAUUCUGUGAUUCAUCUAUGCAGAAAUCCUUUGCCUGGCUCAAACAACACAAUGAGUCAGGCCUUGAAAUGACCCUAAAUCAUACAUAAAUGUCUUUUAAACAGGACCAGUAUUAAAAGCAGAAGCAUCUGCAGUUUUACAUGUGGCUUGCUUUUGAAACUUUCAGUGUGUUCAUAAGGUGUCCAUAUAACAGUUGUGCAUUAGGUGCUGAGCAGUCACAUGGCAAAGUAGGAAAGAUUAAAAAUGCUGAAUAAUGUAGUAUGGUGUAUUUAUUUGUAAGGCUUAUUUAUUAAGUAAUAUGACAUUAGCCACUCAGAGCCACCUGUCCUAGAGAACUGGGGUGACUCUUCAGAAUAAAUAUCAAGGUAUUGCAAAUAUAGAUACUAUGAUUAACAUGCUAGUGUGCUGCAAGUUUUGUAAAGAUGUUCUUUAUAUUGAUGUAAGCCUAAAUAAGCAAUGGCAUACGCUCGUAGUCUCAAAGACAAUAGAGGGAUUUGAGGUAGAGAAUGACAAUUACUCAUCUAAAUCCAGCAGUGAUUGGGGACAUAUUUUAAUGAUGGACCAUUAAUAAUGAUGGAGACAUGACUUGUUUACGCUGAAGCAGCACAUAAGGAAAGUAACUGCAAUAGCAAUGAGCUUUUACAAUCCUGCAUCAAAUAACUAAAAAGCAUUGUAGUUGCAACCAAUAAAAUACUAUCACUCCAAUAACAUAAUGUCUAAAUAUCAGGAAGCACUUUGCAGGUGAUGGAGCACUGGAACAGGUUGUCCAGACAGGUUAUGGAGUCUCACUCUUUGGAGAUCUUCAAAAGCUGCCUGGACAUGAUCCUGGACAACCUGCUCUGAGUGUCCCUGCUUGAGCAAGUGAGGUAGACCAGAUCACCUCCAGAGGUCAUCAUUCUGUGAUUAUGUGAUUCUGUAAUAAUAGACUUGAGAAGGUUCAGAAAGUUUAGAAGGAUUCAAUAUCUCCCAGGGCUAUUACUAGCCACUAACAGUAUAGAGUUCUAAUUAUUCCUUUUUAUUUUCUUUAUUUUUAUGUGUUCAAUUGGUCUUAUAAAAGCAAAAUUUGCUCUGACAGAAUCUACUUCCAAAAAUAAAAAUAAUUCUAUUUGGCUUUUCAUCUCUGUAAAUGGUCUAAACCUAAAUAGUAUGCAUGGAAAAGAGAACAGAAAGUACAACUAGUAGUCUUUACGUUACAAACAAUGUCAGAAAUAUACUGAUACAACAUUACAAAACAAACAAACAAACAAAAAAAGAUCCAACAAGAUUUAUACUUUGGCUUUAGAUCCAUCCAUGUAUUGGACCAGACUAAUGCUAGCAGUUACCUUAAGCACAGGAUGGUUAAUGAUGCAUUUAUAGUAUUGAUUACAUAAUACAUUGUAAUAAGCAGAAUUAAAGGGGUAGAAAUUAGUGUUCUUUUAAAUGUCAGAGAAUUUGUUAUAAGAAUUUACAGUGAUGUAAAUGCUAUAUUCAUCCAAGAGCUUUCAAUUUAACACAGAUGAAGCUUUUUCAUAAAGUUAUUCCUUCUUACAUUUAACUUAAUUCCCAAUGUAAUUUAAUUAUCUUCCUUCUGUUUAAGGCCAGAAGACUGCUUAAAUCAGUAUUAUUUAAUUGAUAAGACUGCAAUUUAAGAUAGCUACUUACAAUGUAAAAUUGUGCAGAUAAAUAAGUGGAAAGUGAUGUAUCCAGAAUUCUUAGACGAUUCUUAAAUUCUAGCUACAUUAUGAGCAUUUUACAGGAAAAAAGCGGUACUUUGUCUUUUUGACAGCAAAGGUUAGACUGACUGUUAAAUAGCAGCCAGGGUAUAUGCCAGAAACAACUUUGUUUAAAAAACUCAAGAAGAUAAAAGCCACCUCCUAUGGUCUUUAUCAUAGCAGUCAGCAGGGAAGGUGAUUUGUAUUUUUAGGACUAAUCCUCAGGAAAUGUAAAGUUUCUACAGUCUUCUAAAAGCAAUGGGUACAUACACUCAUAUUGUAGAGAACCGCUCUGAAUCCCAUUUUUUUCAGAGUUGCACAGUCAUAGAAUUGCCUGCUGUCCAUGAAAUGUAUUUAACCUUUUCAUUAUAUGCAAAAGUGGACUGUGGAUUACAUUUUAAAAAUGAAAAUAAGCUUAGUAGCAUUCUCCUUCUUUUUUUUGUUUUGUUUUGUUUUACCAAAGACAUUCUUCAUUUUAAUUUGAAUGAAGAAGAGGGUGAAUGUGUCAGAUAAGUAGUUAUUUAAAUAUUUUAGAAGGUCAUCACAGCAUUUUUUUCAUAUUAUUUAUGUGAAACGUAGCACGAAAUGCACAUCAAAAAGCAACAGAAAUUAUUUAAAAAAAAAAAAAAACACCUUUUCAGUGGAACAGUGAGGAAGUAAAUCUGUGUUAUGGCUGCUUCUCCUGUGUGAAAUUAGAAAACAACUUUAGAGACAAGCAACUGACAAGAAGGAAAGUGUUUUUUAUUUGUCUGGAAUAAAUAAAUAAAUAAAAUAUGUAAAAUGAGAAAAAUAGGAAGUAAAGAUCCUUAAGAAUAGACAAAAUUUAUUUAUUUAUUUAUUUAUUUAUUUUUAGCAUUUUACUUGAUGUCUUCUCCAAAAGUUUAGCAAAUGUGUCAAGAAAAGACUUCCUGAUUCAAGAGCAAAGAAUUAUUUUUCUGUCAGAAGGUGGAAAUACACAUUGCAAUAUUAUUUAGAAAAUGAUUUUAGUUUCAGCAGACUCUUUGAAGAUUUUGGUUUGUUCCAUACACAAUUAAUUCACUGGUACUGAAAUAAUAUGUUACUGAAAUGAAAUUGAUGUUCUUAUGACAACUACAGAGCUAAAAAGAUUAAACAUCUAGGGAAACAGUUCUCUUUUUUAAAAUAAUUAUGGACAAUAAUUUAAUGAACCAAAAUGUUGCUCUUUUUUUCUGGUAUUCACAGGAUGGGAAUGGCAUGAAUAAUAGGAACAAAGAGUAGUUAGGCAUUGGAGCCCAAGGAGGUGGUGGAGUCACCAUCUCUGGGCAUGUUUAAGGAAAGAUUGGACAUGGUACUUAGGGACAUGGUUUAGUAGAUGACAUUGGUAGUAGGGUGAUGGUUGGACCAGAUGAUCUCGGAGGUUUUUUCCAACCUGAAUGUUUUUACAAUUCUAUGAUUCUGUAAAUGGUAGACAUGCUUAAAAAUAUCCUUCCAGAUAAACAGAAAUCAGUGAAAAGUUCUACCAAGGUGGCCAUUGAAAUUUCCUGCACAUUAAUCUCCUGGGAGGGAAAUUUUCUGGUUGGUUGUUUAGAGAAAUCUAAUGAUUCUCAUUGCAUGUGUUACAUGUGGCUUUAUGUGUCACAGUGACCAGCAAAUGUAUCACAGUGACCAACUCGUCAUUUUAAAACAAAUUAAACCCUCAAUCCAAGUGAGAACCAAACUUUUUAUUAACAAGAAAUGCUUCUGUAUUACAAAGCAAAAUUAAACAUUUUACUUAGAACCAUAAUAACUGACUUCAAUACAGCCAACCCAUAUAUGGAUAACGUUUUGCAGACUCAGUACUCCUCUUAGUCUUUAAAAAAAUGAAUUCUCAGUUGUGUAUGUAAAAUGUGUUUCAUCUUUAGGUUACCUUCAUUAUCUAGAAUUUUAAUUCAGUCUAUAUUUGAAGUUAUUCCUUUAUACCUAAUGGUUAUAUUGUCUUAUCCCUAAAGACUGGUCUCCAAAAAAGCAGGUGAAACUGAAUUAUCAGUAAGUUAAAUAUCAGCCCUGUAUAAAACUUAAAGUCUGUUUCUUAUGACAUAUUAUUUGAAAACUGCCAUAAUUAUACAUGUAGACCACUUAUAUUGAGAUUUUGUCCUUCCUACUUAUUACUUUAACUAGCUUUAAAGAGAAAAUAGUACCCAAAUUUAAAAUUGUAAUUCCUGUAGUACAUUCCUAAAGUGCAUUAGAGCACAAAUGCAAAAAAGCAUUAUUAUGAUUACUACAGUAUAAUCAAGUCCAUUUACUCUAAUACUCAUGAAACAUUCGGUUAAAGUUUUCAAAAAAGGUUUUCAAGCUUGCAGCUAGCACUACAACCUAAGACUACAAAUGCAUGUAGUAGAGAAGGUAUUGGAUUCUCUUUUGAGUUUCGUAUUAGCAGCACAUGUGGAACACCAACUUCAAUAGCACAAGUUUAAUAUUUAUUAAAGGAAGUCUCUUCACAGUAUACCAGAAGGAGUUAUGCUUGAAUAUUUUAAUGUAUCAGGACCUUAGAAAUUACUACUUCAUGAAUUAAUAUGCUAUCACAUAGAAAAAAAAUCUAAUUGUAGGUAGCUGCCUUUUUUGCAAGAAAAAAAAAAAAAAAAAAGAACUUUUUUUAAAUUUUGGACUAAUAUAAUUUAUAUAUUAUAUUUGUUAUCCUAAUCUUAAUGUCUUCUUAUUCCAGUUCAGAAGUCAAAGCUAUAAAGAAAGUAGACAUGGGUUAACUAAUUGCAAUUUUGUUAUAUUUCAAAAAAAAAAAAAAAAA